Molecule: ribosomal RNA, 60 nt
Filed under: Desulfobulbaceae bacterium
Lineage: Bacteria; Pseudomonadati; Thermodesulfobacteriota; Desulfobulbia; Desulfobulbales; Desulfobulbaceae
Description: partial 16S ribosomal RNA
Source: RNAcentral
UAAACUGGAGAGUUUGAUCCUGGCUCAGAACGAACGCUGGCGGCGUGCUUAACACAUGCA